The sequence is a non-coding RNA, 379 nucleotides long. It matches the Rfam family "transfer-messenger RNA". Rfam says of the family: Bacterial tmRNA, also known as 10Sa RNA or SsrA, is named for its dual tRNA and mRNA-like properties. Its role is to liberate the mRNA from a stalled ribosome. To accomplish this part of the tmRNA is used as a reading frame that ends in a translation stop signal. The record is from Rfam.
GGGGGCGACUUGGAAUCGACCGGAUGUCAAGAAGCGAAUGCCUGCGUGUCGUGGUUGAUCAGAAGGCCACGUAAAAAUCUGAUCAAAAAUUUUAGUUGCAGAAGAAAACUUUGCACUCGCCGCCUAAGUACAGGUAGCGCGGACUGAGGGGGAUCGCCGGAGUCGCCCGAAUGUCCGUCACAAUUCCGGAUCGCUUAUCGUCCUACUCGAGACGCGAUAAGUUAAAUUUGAUUCGAGUUAGCCGAUCGGGGAGCCUGUCAGGUAGCGCCUCGUGACGCGAAUAGGGAUCCUCGAGUUCCCACAAAUAGCUUGACUACACAUGUAGACGGCAUCGUGGAUGCAUCGCGGGACGGGAGUUCAAUCCUCCCCGCCUCCACUU